GACGUAGGGCGCGAGCGUUGUCCGGAUUUAUUGGGCGUAAAGAGCUCGUAGGCGGCUUGUCGCGUCGACUGUGAAAACCCGCGGCUCAACCGCGGGCCUGCAGCCGAUACGGGCAGGCUAGAGUUCGGUAGGGGAGACUGGAAUUCCUGGUGUAGCGGUGAAAUGCGCAGAUAUCGGAAGGAACAUCAGUGGCGAAAGCGGCUUCCUGGACCAGCACCGACGUUCAGGCACGAAAGCGUGGGGAGCAAACAGG
RNAcentral lists this ribosomal RNA (253 nucleotides) under uncultured bacterium. RNAcentral describes it as "partial 16S ribosomal RNA". It matches the Rfam family "Bacterial small subunit ribosomal RNA", at positions 524 to 776 of the family's 1533-position model. The record is from RNAcentral.